Macadamia integrifolia is the source of this 993-nucleotide long non-coding RNA. RefSeq lists it as uncharacterized. The transcript has 3 exons. The record is from RefSeq and is a predicted model, not a curated record. NCBI's taxonomy places the organism in Eukaryota, Viridiplantae, Streptophyta, Magnoliopsida, Proteales, Proteaceae.
UUCUAAAAAUGAGCAUUUUUCUGGUGGAAAUUGCUCUUCCAAUACGAUGCUUUUCGACGCAGACUUUGAUUUCAUUUACACUGAUGUAUCUAGAAAUGGUUUUUGGCAACAAAGGAGAGGGAAAAUUUGUAUAGCUGAAUUCCGAUUGGUGAAGCACUGAGCAUGCGGUGCACUAUGAAUUGUGCUUGGAAACACUCGGAUUUGAUUUGGGGUGAGUGGUAGAUCAGGGUGAGAUAUCUGUAUUGGAAAUUUGUGUUGUGAAGAUGACUCCUAAUGCUCUCCUGGAAGGGAGCUCAGGUCAAAUAAUCACAAGCGUGGAUGUAGUCUUGAGAGUGGAUUACUCCUUCAAGAGAAAGACGAUGAUCUUGCUUUGUUCAAUGAGAUGCAGACCAGAGAAAGAGAAUUUUUUGCUUGACAUGACCGAUGAUAUUGAUGACUCAUUCUGUUGUUGACUCCUCCAGACACUCCUCUUUUCCCUUCGUUGGAUGAUAAUACCCCAGCAAUUAGUCCUGCCCCUAGGGGCCGAUCCCUAACUCAGCCCAUUUCCAUCUCAAGAUCAUCCACGAUGGAGAAGAGUUCCAGGACCAGUAGAAGUAGAACAAGCCCACAUCGGUUAAGCCCAUCCCCUCAGUCUGGAAGCAAACACAUUUCAAUCAAGAGGAAGGCCAUCUUCAGCUCCUCAUUCUAGUCCAUGUCCCAUCCAACGACCUGCUUCACCAUCACCGAGACGAGGGGGGAUUAUGUAAUUUCAACAAACGACAGUGGAGGUAGAUAUAAAUCGCCCUAGAUUUAAAUACCUUUGCCUGCCACUUGCCAUAAUGUGUGAAGGUUAUUUGUCACUUGGCCUUUUUUUUUUUACUUUUCAUUGGGUAGAAUAUCAGCCACGGGCCAUGGCUAAUUAGUAUUCAGUAAUGAAUUUUUUUUUUUGGUUUUUUAAAAUGCAAAACCUAAUAUGGUAUAUGUGACCAAAGGGAAAGGUGAAUUAUUCUAUUU